Acipenser ruthenus (sterlet) is the source of this 3074-nucleotide long non-coding RNA. RefSeq lists it as uncharacterized. The transcript is spliced from 3 exons. The record is from RefSeq and is a predicted model, not a curated record. Lineage: Eukaryota; Metazoa; Chordata; Actinopteri; Acipenseriformes; Acipenseridae.
UAUUUCUAGAUUAAGUGUUGCCCCUUUAAAGUUUUAUAUUUAUUCACACAGAAUUAAACAGAAAAACUCCAACAUCUGGUGUUAAAUUGUUUGAACCAACUGCUAAAUCACGAGUCAGAUUAUACUUAUCGUAAUGCAUUUCAAAUUAUUCUGUAUUUUCUUAUCAGUUUCCUUUAAAAGGGUAUCCUUUACUGAUACUGAAAGUUUCAGUUUGACAGUAGAUACGUAAAUGUUUUUGUUUUUUUUUUAAAAGAGGGGCUGUUUUGUACAAGCAGGUUGUUAUAUAUUUUAGAAAGUACACCUCUGUUGGUAGGAUUAUACUGUAGUAGGGAUUUAAUUGGAGACUUAGGGUAAUAAUGGAAAGCCAGACAAUCUACUACGCACAAAGUCCCUAAUCUGUAAAUAAUGAAAAAAAUAUCUAUGUGGUAGAUCAAAUUUAUUAGACAGCUGAUCAAAGGAGGCAAAGGUGCCAUCAAUGUACAGAUCUCUUAAGGGUUUUAAUACCAGAAUGGUGCCAAUUACCAAAGGCUGAAUAUUUCAAUGGGGGGGGACAGGUGAUAGGUGAUUUGUAUGCAAUGAUUCAGUUAAAGUAUAGACUGUGAGCCGAAGUGAUAUCUGCACUGUGCCCAGAUCUUUAACCCUUUGCGGUCCUAUGUCGGACCUGGUCCGACAUUGCAAUUAUUCCUAUCAGGUCCAAUGUCAGACCCUGUCUGACAUCAUGAAAAAGAUGCAAAAAACAGGUUUUUAGUUGUUUUUUCUAUGGAAAAAGCUGAGAAAACCAUUCAAUGGCCGACAGGAGCCGAGACAAGCCGAAAAAAAUAAAAAGGGCGUAUCUCAUGAUUAGUCAUACUUGCCCCUGGUAUUAGAUAGGGGCGGCCAUAAGGAAACAAGCUGCCUGUUACUGAACCAGCGCACAAAGAAUAACACGGACAUUUGCAGAGCUUUUUUGAGAUGUUAUAGUAAUAAAAUAAUGACUUGGAUCGCAUUAUUGAGGAGUUUGGUGAUAAAACGAGUGAUCAGGAGAUGAUCGAUCGGUAUGUACGACUAUUAUUAUUUAUUUCUUAGCAUAUGUGAAAGCUAUAGCGAACGAAAGGGUGGGGCGGGGCUGGAGAUGCCUAGUGAGUGCUUUGUUAAUAUGCAGGGCCUUUUAAACCUGUUUGACUGUGGGGAAAAAAAAUACUUUUAAACAGCGCGUCUAAAAUUAACUGCGCGUGUGAAAAUAAAUUGGACCUGACGCGCCUGACACGCACUUAAUAAAUGGACUGCAAAGGGUUAAUGAGUUCUGAACAACAGGAUUGACACUGAGGCAAGAGUAGGAUAGAGGAAGGGAGGAACACAAAAGAGCAGUCGGAGAAGAGGAAACGCAGGAAUCUGCUUCAAUUGUCAGCCACACACACGGGUGGACUGCUGUGUACAUGACUGCCUCCAGAAUGUUUGAGUAUGAAUGUUCACCGCCCAAUAGUACAACUGGAAAUUAGACAGCGCAAGUCCACCCAAUGAUUUAGAUCCUUGGAGGAGUGUCUUUUUAAUUCAAGGCUGCUGCUUGUUCCAAAUAAAUGAGGAAAUCAUGUGAUCGAGAGAGUUAAAAAAGGAUUUUACUAUUAGCGGGAAUGCACUGAAAGAGAUAUAGAAAUUUCAGAAGUGUUCAUUUUCACUUAAUUAAUUCGUCCCAUCAAUGAUAGAGGGCGUGUCGACCAGCAAGUGAUGUCUUGUUUGGUGUGUUCCAGAAGGGCAGAAAAUCGUGUUUAAACAGGUUUUCAAAGGAAUGUGUAAUUCCUAGAUAUGUGAAUUUGUGAAAUUGUGAAGGGCCAAUUGUCAAAACAGCUCUGAUAAGCAGCAGUUAAUAGAAAACAUUAUACUUCUGUGCAGAUUAAGUUUAUACCCAGAGAUUUUGCAAAAGUCAUCAAUAAUAAGCAGGGCAUGACAAAGAGAAGAAGCAGGGUUAGAAAUAUAUAGUAAAAGGUCAUCUGCAUAUAAAGAGACUUUCUGCUCUAACUCGCCUCGUAUCACUCCCUGAAUUUCCCAACUAUCCCACAUGCAAAAAGGAGCGUAGAAAGGGGGCCACCUUGUUUAGUGCCGUGGUGGAGUGUAAAGUAUUCCAAAUUUGUGUUAUUUGUGCAGACUGAGGCCUCGGGGUAUGAAUAUAGCAGUUUAAUCUAAGAUAUGAAUUUGCAGCCAAAAUUUAAUUUGUGUAGGGUGGCAAAUUAAAUAAUCCCAUUCAAAUGCCUUUUCAGCGUCCAAGAGACAUACCUCGGGGGAUUGUGAAGUGGAUUGAGUAUAUAUCACAUUAAAUAGACGCCGGAGGUUAAAGAAAGACUGCCUAUCCCUAACAAACCCUAUCUGAUCCAAUGAAAUAAUAGAAGUGUGUGCGUCACUGUGGAUCUUUGGUCAUCCUGCCAGAUUAAAUCUUUCCUGAGCAUCUGUCUCAAGGAUGGCUGGUGGAUGACAUCACGGACCAGGAAGAAGUGCAAAACAAAAGUGAUGACAUUUGAGCUGUGGGAAAUCUGAACACCUUUUCUCAUACAAUCGCUACAGUCACAUCAGUUGAAUGUCAGAAUCAAAAUGCUGGUGCUAAAACGGUCCAAUUUCCCUACAUAAGGUCUGUAAACUCACCAUUCAAGGAAGUAUUGAUACAAGCAGAUGAAGUUCCAAUGAAUGUUUCAAAUUUUCAUUAAAUCAGUUUUCUUUGUUGAUCCUUUUCCAUUCACUCUGUACCAUACUGUUCUGUCCAUUUAAAAUGUCUUACAUGCUAAAAUGUUUUUGUUUGAGCAAAUUAAAUAAACUUACAAUAUAUUAAUAUGAUGGUGUGUUUUUGUGUUUUUUUACACUAAAACCUCAUUUAACCAAAGUUUGAAAAUCCAUUUUACCUCAAUAUUAUCACUGGCUUCUUUUUUUCUGUAGAUCUUUUGGCUUUACUUGUUUUUUAAACUUCUAUACUAUACAAUAAUUCAAAGACUGUAUUAAUCACUUGAAACAUUGUAAUUCAAACUCACUCCAUUUGUCUAGCUUGUAGCGGACAGUGUAGUCAAAUCAGGUUAUUGCUGGAUAUUAAUAUACACUGUUUAAACUUGUUU